RNAcentral lists this ribosomal RNA (329 nucleotides) under uncultured eukaryote. RNAcentral's name for it is "partial 18S ribosomal RNA". It matches the Rfam family "Eukaryotic small subunit ribosomal RNA", at positions 1470 to 1796 of the family's 1831-position model. The record is from RNAcentral.
CCCUUAGAUGUCCUGGGCCGCACGCGCGUUACACUGAUGCAUUCAACGAGCUUAUAACCUUGGCCGAGAGGCCUGGGCAAUCUUGUUAACGUGCAUCGUGAUAGGGAUAGAUUAUUGAAAUUAUUAAUCUUGAACGAGGAAUUCCUAGUAAACGCAGAUCAUCAAUCUGCAUUGAUUACGUCCCUGCCCUUUGUACACACCGCCCGUCGCUACUACCGAUUGAAUGGCUCAGUGAGGCCUUCGGACUGGCUUAGGGAGGUUGGCAACGACCACCCUGAGCCGGGAAGUUCGUCAAACUCGGUCAUUUAGAGGAAGUAAAAGUCGUAACA